GGUCUCGUGGCCCAAUGGCAAGGCGUCUGACUACGACGAAGCAUGAUACAAACAUGCUUCAAACACGCAAUCAGGAGAUUCUGGGUUCGAUCCCCAGCGAGAUCA
Non-coding RNA from Microdochium trichocladiopsis, 105 nucleotides. Lineage: Eukaryota; Fungi; Ascomycota; Sordariomycetes; Xylariales; Microdochiaceae. The record is from the annotation of a RefSeq genome assembly.